GGAUUAGGCAUGCAAGUCGAACGAGAAGCCUUUGCUUCAAUCCUUCGGGAGAGAAGCUUUGGUGGACAGUGGCGAAAGGGUGAGUAACGCGUGGGUAAUUUGCCUCUAAGUUGGGGAUAGCCUCUGGAAACGGGGGGUAAUACCGAAUGUGGUCGUGUCGCGCCUGCGACACUAUCCAAAGGUGGGGAUCUUCGGACCUACCGCUUGGAGAUGAGCCCGCGUCCCAUCAGCUUGCUGGUAGGGUAAUGGCCUACCAAGGCGAUGACGGGUAGCUGGUCUGAGAGGAUGGUCAGCCACACUGGGACUGAGACACUGCCCAGACUCCUACGGGAGGCUGCAGCCGAGAAUCAUUCGCAAUGCCCGAAAGG
RNAcentral lists this ribosomal RNA (368 nucleotides) under uncultured anaerobic ammonium-oxidizing bacterium. RNAcentral's name for it is "bacterial SSU rRNA". It matches the Rfam family "Bacterial small subunit ribosomal RNA", at positions 46 to 382 of the family's 1533-position model. The record is from RNAcentral.